This is a non-coding RNA of Mycena olivaceomarginata, 89 nucleotides long. NCBI's taxonomy places the organism in Eukaryota, Fungi, Basidiomycota, Agaricomycetes, Agaricales, Mycenaceae. The record is from the annotation of a GenBank genome assembly.
GGGCUUGAGGCGCGUGGUGCGCAUCCUCACUAUAUAUGUUGACUGUCAAAGAUAUGAGGAAGGUGUGGGUUCGAAUCCCACCAUGCCCU